RNAcentral lists this ribosomal RNA (310 nucleotides) under uncultured Shewanella sp. RNAcentral's name for it is "bacterial SSU rRNA". It matches the Rfam family "Bacterial small subunit ribosomal RNA", at positions 30 to 334 of the family's 1533-position model. Lineage: Bacteria; Pseudomonadati; Pseudomonadota; Gammaproteobacteria; Alteromonadales; Shewanellaceae. The record is from RNAcentral.
AUUGAACGCUGGCGGCAGGCCUAACACAUGCAAGUCGAGCGGUAACAGGAAUUAGCUUGCUAAUUUGCUGACGAGCGGCGGACGGGUGAGUAAUGCCUAGGGAACUGCCCAGUCGAGGGGGAUAACAGUUGGAAACGACUGCUAAUACCGCAUACGCCCUACGGGGGAAAAGAGGGGACCUUCGGGCCUUCUGCGAUUGGAUGUACCUAGGUGGGAUUAGCUAGUUGGUGAGGUAAUGGCUCACCAAGGCGACGAUCCCUAGCUGUUCUGAGAGGAUGAUCAGCCACACUGGGACUGAGACACGGCCCAG